RNAcentral lists this ribosomal RNA (460 nucleotides) under Scaphiophryne gottlebei. RNAcentral's name for it is "partial 16S rRNA". It matches the Rfam family "Bacterial large subunit ribosomal RNA", at positions 1971 to 2595 of the family's 2925-position model. The record is from RNAcentral. Lineage: Eukaryota; Metazoa; Chordata; Amphibia; Anura; Microhylidae. RNAcentral also lists the same sequence under 1 other name.
GUUCUUUAAAUGAGGACUAGUAUCAAUGGCAUCACGAGGGUUAUACUGUCUCCCCCUUUUAAUCAGUGAAACUGAUCUUCCCGUGAAGAAGCGGGAAUAUAUCUAUAAGACGAGAAGACCCCAUGGAGCUUAAAACUCAGUAUCAGCUGCCCUCUAAUAUAUCCUCUUAAUUAGGCAGACUUGACUACUAGUUUUCGGUUGGGGUGACCGCGGAGCAAAACAAAACCUCCACGAUGAAAGGAACUAAUUUCCUAAUCAAAGAACCACAUUUCUAUGAAUCAACAAAUUGACAUUUAUUGAUCCAAUUUUUUUGAUCAACGAACCAAGUUACCCUGGGGAUAACAGCGCAAUCCAUUUCAAGAGCCCCUAUCGACAAAUGGGUUUACGACCUCGAUGUUGGAUCAGGGUAUCCCAGUGGUGCAGCCGCUAAUAAAGGUUCGUUUGUUCAACGAUUAAAACC